GCCCCGCCCCCCCACGCCGGGUCGCACGUCCUGGGGGCCGGAGCAGCACCACGUUCGCUGGCUGCCGAGGGCUUUGGCAGGAGCCCGGGUGGAGGGCGGUUCGGAGCAGAAGGUGCGGGCAGGACGUGUCCCCGGCUCUGCUGACGGGCCUGGAAGACGCGCCUCGGUCGCCCCGGGCACCCCAGGUUCCGUCUGGACUUGAGAUGGAAGAGGCGACGUGACUUGAGAGCAACGGGCUGUCGCGUGGCAGACGUCAGAGCGAGUGUCAAAAUUCCGCUUAGGACUCUUGUGCCCAGCUCCCCGCAAAACUGCGGGGUCAUUUUUCUUUCCUGCAAAGUAUUUUUUUAAUGUUUAUUGAUUGGGGGGGGAGGGGCAGAGGGAGAGAGAGGGAAUCCCAAGCAGGCUCCGCGCUGUCGGCAGAAAGCCCUGUGUGGGGCUUGAACUCGUGAACCGGGAGGUCGUGACCGGAGCCGACUGAGCCACCCAGGCGCCCCAAGCAGCCUCAUUUUUAAGGGAAUUUUUAGGAGAGCGAACCUUGUUUCCUCACCCUCCUAGGGUCCCUGGCUGGGGACAGUUACACCGGCAAAGACCGAUGAGCAGGAGAAAGGUACACAGGUGUGUUCAGUACAAGUUUCACACGGCACGGGGGCGUAAGGAAAUGCAGCCCUGAAUAUUUCCUGUGGGAUUUGACAUGACCGGCAGCCGUGGGGAGCACG
This is a long non-coding RNA of Felis catus (domestic cat), 716 nucleotides long. RefSeq lists it as uncharacterized. The record is from RefSeq and is a predicted model, not a curated record. The transcript is spliced from 2 exons. Lineage: Eukaryota; Metazoa; Chordata; Mammalia; Carnivora; Felidae.